Non-coding RNA from Myodes glareolus (Bank vole), 1435 nucleotides. The record is from RefSeq and is a predicted model, not a curated record. Lineage: Eukaryota; Metazoa; Chordata; Mammalia; Rodentia; Cricetidae.
CCGCAUCACAGAGGGCUCCGCACCGAUUACAUCACUUCCGUAAACAAAGUGCGCUGCGGAGGCGCGGGUCCCAAGCUGGGUGACCUGGACACUUGCUGCAGCUGUAGCCGAGGCUUUGGACGCUCUCUGACCUUUUCCAGUUGAGGAAAAGGACCAUAGCCUCUUCCUAUGGUCUUAUGAAGCUGCUCUUGAUGCAACAAAGAACUUGAAGCAAUGGAAGAGCGGAAAGUGAAGAGGAAGAGUCCCAAGUCCUUCAGUGCCCACUCUACUCAGGUUGUCAAUGCCAAAAAAAAUGCCAUCCCAGCUAGUAAGAGCACAGGCUUUUCAAAUCCCACGGUACAGUCAACAUCCCAGCGGCCAAAGUUAAAGAGAGUGGUGAAAGAAAAGAACAAGCCUCCAGGAGGAGAAGGGAAGGGGGCUCAGUCUACCCCCAUCCAGCACUCCUUCCUCACAGAUGUCUCCGAUGUCCAGGAGAUGGAGCGCGGGCUCCUCAGUCUGCUAAAUGAUUUCCACUCGGGAAAGCUGCAGGCGUUUGGAAAUGAAUGUUCCAUAGAACAGAUGGAACAUGUCCGGGGAAUGCAGGAGAAAUUAGCUCGCUUGAAUUUGGAGCUCUACGGGGAGUUAGAGGAACUUCCUGAGGAUAAGCGGAAAGCAGCCAGUGACGCCAACUUGGACAGGCUUCUGUCGGACGGAGCUGAAAAGCUGACUCAGCGACUAAAAGUACUCGCUGCUCUUGCAGAGGACCCCGAUUCUGUUCCCAGCACCCACAUGGCGGCCCUCAACCGUCUGUAGCUCCAGUUCCGGGGAUCUGAAGCCCUCUUCUGGCCUCUGAGGGCACCAGGCACACAAGUGGUGCACAUGCUAAUAUUUAGAAGAAUUGAAUUCUUCUAUACAGAAGCUGCAUUUGGCAGACGCGCAAGAUGUACCCAAUCCGUCUACCGGCUAAGGCAGUGUGCAGCCUGCUCAGGGGGUUUGCAGAGAAGCAGCCGUCGUUGCUUUCGCCGAGUCCAGUAGCAGAAUCAUCCCCACAACAUAAUUCAAGUGAUGGAGUACAAGUGCAGCAAUUGUGCUCACGCCGCUUCUAGUCCAUGUGCUCGCUGUCAUUCACUGCUGAGGGGCGUGGCCUGACUGCAGGGCCCUUGAGGAGCGGGAUGCUGGGCUAUGCUGCUGUGUUUUCUUCUGUUGCCUUAAGGGUUAUACUUGAAAUGCAUUGUGCUAAACGUUCGGUAGGGCUGAAGGAAUUGUCCUUCCUGCGGUCACCACACUGACCCAGUUCUGGUCACACGUUGGUGAUGCACAGGCCUCCUGCGGCAGCCCAGCUUCAGUUUACGUCAGACAAUCAGUACACACGCAGGUGUGUUCCCCAAUGGCCAGUGACAAAUGUUUAAUAAGUAUUUGUGAGAUUCGCUAUUUUUAAUAAAGUGAUUGUUUUGAA